Molecule: ribosomal RNA, 253 nt
Filed under: uncultured microorganism
Description: partial 16S ribosomal RNA
Rfam family: Bacterial small subunit ribosomal RNA
Source: RNAcentral
UACGUAGGGGGCAAGCGUUACUCGGAAUUACUGGGCGUAAAGGGUGAGUAGGCGGCUGGGCAAGUCAAGGAUGAAAUCCCGAGGCUCAACUUCGGAACUGUCCUUGAAACUGCUCAGCUUGAGGGUAGUUGAGGAGAGCGGAAUUCCCGGUGGAGCGGUGAAAUGCGUAGAGAUCAGGAGGAACACCGAUGGCGAAGGCAGCCCCCUGGGCCUGUACUGACGCUCAUGCACGAAAGCGUGGGGAGCAAACAGG